RNAcentral lists this ribosomal RNA (440 nucleotides) under uncultured bacterium. RNAcentral describes it as "partial 16S ribosomal RNA". It matches the Rfam family "Bacterial small subunit ribosomal RNA", at positions 338 to 795 of the family's 1533-position model. The record is from RNAcentral.
CCUACGGGAGGCAGCAGUAGGGACUUUUGCGCAAUGGGCGAAAGCCUGACGCCGCAACGCCGCGUGAUCGAGACGCCCUUCGGGGUGUAAAGAUCUGUCAGUGGGGACGAACCUUGACGGUACCCACAGAGGGUGCACCGGCUAACUCCGUGCAAGCAGCAGCGGUAAUACGGGGGGUGCAAGCGUUGUCCGGAAUCAUUGGGCGUAAAGAGUUCGUAGGCGGCACGUAAAGUCUGGUGUUAAAGUCAGAGGUUCAACUUCAGUACGGAAGUGGAUACUUGCGAGCUAGAAUGCGGUAGAGGUAAAGGGAAUUCGUUGUGUAGCGGUGAAAUGCUUAGAUAUCAGGAGGAACAUCGGUGGCGUAGGCGCUUUACUGGGCCGUAAUUGACGCUGAGGAACGAAAGCCAGGGUAGCAAAUGGGAUUAGAUACCCCAGUAGUC